This is a long non-coding RNA of Thalassophryne amazonica, 143 nucleotides long. RefSeq lists it as uncharacterized. The record is from RefSeq and is a predicted model, not a curated record. The transcript has 3 exons. NCBI's taxonomy places the organism in Eukaryota, Metazoa, Chordata, Actinopteri, Batrachoidiformes, Batrachoididae.
AACAAGAUAUAAACAGAAUUAAGCUUAUAGACUCUCCCAAAUGUCCUAAACUGUCACACUCUAUAAGGAAUUUUUUGAAGAAAAUUAAUGUUAAAGAAUGCCUUUAAUUUGUUUUCUAUCUCUUUAAAAUAAUAAUAUGAUAA